GAUUGCAGGCUGCAACUCGCCUGCAUGAAGUCGGAAUUGCUAGUAAUCGUAGGUCAGCAUACUACGGUGAAUACGUUCCCGGGCCUUGUACACACCGCCCGUCAAACCAUGAGAGUUGGCAACACCCGAAGUCGGUAGUCUAACCGCAAGGAGGACGCCGCCGAAGGUGGGGUCGAUGAUUAGGGUUAAGUCGUAACAAGGUACC
This 205-nucleotide ribosomal RNA is filed under the name uncultured bacterium. RNAcentral's name for it is "partial 16S ribosomal RNA". It matches the Rfam family "Bacterial small subunit ribosomal RNA", at positions 1296 to 1500 of the family's 1533-position model. The record is from RNAcentral.